GAGGGUGCAAGCGUUAUCCGGAUUCACUGGGUUUAAAGGGUGCGUAGGUGGGCAGGUAAGUCAGUGGUGAAAUCUCCGGGCUUAACCCGGAAACUGCCAUUGAUACUAUCUGUCUUGAAUACCCUGGAGGUGAGCGGAAUAUGUCAUGUAGCGGUGAAAUGCUUAGAUAUGACAUAGAACACCCAUUGCGAAGGCGGCUCACUACGGGAAUAUUGACACUGAGGCACGAAAGCGUGGGGAUCAAACAGGAUUAGAUACCCUGGUAGUCCACGCCCUAAACUAUGGAUACUCGACAUCAGCGAUAAACUGUUGGUGUCUGAGCGAAAGCAUUAAGUAUCCCACCUGGGAAGUACGAUCGCAAGAUUG
RNAcentral lists this ribosomal RNA (366 nucleotides) under uncultured organism. RNAcentral describes it as "bacterial SSU rRNA". It matches the Rfam family "Bacterial small subunit ribosomal RNA", at positions 528 to 896 of the family's 1533-position model. The record is from RNAcentral.